CUGUCGAACUGAAGGUGAGAAUCUGAAAGAACGGGAUUCAAUGAGGCAAACUGAAGAGGAUCCAGCAAGGGGCCAGUGAUGUCCUUCGUGUAGGCCAACAUCAGUUAUCAGUUCAGGAGGAAUCACUUGGCCCGGCUCGCUAGAUCCACCUUUCCAUGAUCCCCCCGUCAGCAUGGGAUGAUUGUCAUGAAACUCUUCCCAUGAUUUCAAGUGCUGCAUCAGGAGGAUGUUGUGAAAAAACAUGUCAGGAUACCUGAUCACUUCAGAGAACAAAACUGCACAUAGUGCAAUGGCGUCUUGGGGAGUCUGUAUAUAACGGUCGACUUUGGCGAGGUUCCCAUUCAUGUAGGACCAAACUGUCUCACUAAAAUGUUUAUUGAACUCUUUUGAUGUUUUCAGUGUUGCAUAACAAAGUCUUUUGUCUGAAAGAUGCAUGUCUUGCUCAUCUUUUUUGAUUGGACGACAGUACAG
Carassius auratus (goldfish) is the source of this 471-nucleotide long non-coding RNA. RefSeq lists it as uncharacterized. The transcript is spliced from 3 exons. The record is from RefSeq and is a predicted model, not a curated record. Lineage: Eukaryota; Metazoa; Chordata; Actinopteri; Cypriniformes; Cyprinidae.